This is a non-coding RNA of Sturnus vulgaris (Common starling), 2538 nucleotides long. NCBI's taxonomy places the organism in Eukaryota, Metazoa, Chordata, Aves, Passeriformes, Sturnidae. The record is from RefSeq and is a predicted model, not a curated record.
GCCCCGCGGGCGGCGCGGAGCGGGGACGGCCCCAGCCCGGAGCUGGUGGCAGGAGAUACCAGUGAACUACCUGCUGUCCACCACUUUCUUCAUUUAACUUCCCCUUGGGGUCAGCUGGUCAUCAGGAUGCCUUCAACCAAGAACACCUCCAAGCUUUUCCUGAUCCUCAUGUCACUGCUGCUGGUGCUGCCGGUAGUUGAAGCCCUGGACGCAGGAGAUACCAUUGCCUUCCUCCUGGGCCUCGCUGUCAGUGUCAUCGGAUUCUGCGCCUGCCUCGGCUUGUAUGCAAGGAGAAGGAAUGGGCAGCAGUGACUUCAAGAAAAUGCUCAGAUGAAGUGAAUUUCCAAACACAGCUUGGGGUUGGGUGUAAGACUGAGCUUUGGUUCUGGAUAACUUUCAAAAAAUAUGUAGUAGAUAUUUCUGCAAACCUCUCUUACUGUUCAGUACAACAGAGUCAGGACAGUACCCAGUAAAAGGGAUUCAUAUGAUCUAUCCUCAUUCCAAAAAGAUAAUUUUAUAUUGUCUGUGGUUAAAUACUGCCUUAGAGAAGGGUGAAAACUUUCUGAAUGGGGAAGUAAAACUAUAGAGUGGCUCAGAGUAAAAGUUUAUAAAUUUAGCAUGUGAGGGAGGCCAUCAACAAGUUCUGUAAUUUUGGUUUCAAUGGUUAAUCAGGAGGACACAGCUAUUAAUCUUCCAGUCAAGAUGACAAGAGUUUUUAAAUUAGUCCUAACUAGAUAGCUAGUGAGCAGACUGCUCUAACUUCUGUGUUCACUCUCACAUUCUCUCUAAUGACAGUUAACACCUAACAGCUCACUUCUGCUGUCACAUGGAUGAGACUUUAUAGAACUAAGGAAACAUAAAGGCUUUUUUUUCGUUUAGAAUAUUUUUAGAGUAUUUUUAUUUUAGAAUAUGACGUUCCUGUAGCCUGUGUUCUUAUUACCAAGUAGAUACAACUAAGAAUGAGAUCACCAUUUUUAUUUAAUAUGUACUUCACAGAAAAGUGCAUAUAAGGCUAUAUAAAUCAGAUUAGGGAUAUGGGCUUUGUCUCUUGUUUAUUUUUUGUACUCAGCUUUUUCUAGGCACAUCGGGUUUAAGGCUUAGUUCAUUUGGUGUUUGUACCUUUUUCUUCAAAACUGAAGACUUAACUACUUUGAUGAGGAAUUCUGCAUAUUUCUGCAUUAGAAGGUUAUUAGAAUUAUAACAAGACCAUUGUGCACAUGUGUUUUUUUUACAAUGUAGAAAGAACUUGUUAAAAUCCUGGGUUUAGUCAAUUACUGCAUUGUUCUUGAGUGUAUUCCUUGUGACAAACCUAUGUUGCUAGCUAAACAUUUAAGCUUCUCUAACUCAUGCAUAUGGCUUCCACAGAUUAGGACCAAAACCAAAGUAAAAUAUCUUGGUGCAAAAUGGGAGAUGUAAGUAGUCUUAUUCUGUUCAUGCUCAGUCAGAUUGUGUGGAAUAUGGUUGAAAGACAGUGGUGUGUCUAGGACCUGUUUCUUAAGUACCAAAGGUAAAAUGGUUCAGCCAAGAAUGUCUGCCACAAGUCUCUCUGACUUAGGGUGUUUUAGCUUGAGCUAAGCAGCACAAUCUGUAACGGCAGCAGAGGAGCAUAAGAAGGAGCAUAGGAAGAUGAACUCUCCACACUUCACAGAAUUUCCUUCUGAUUUUGUGCUGUCACUGCCAGUCUUUGCUAGAAAUCUUGGCUUUUAUCUUUCAGAGUUACCUAUAUUGAUACUAUUCUUCCACUUCCUCUGUGUCUCUGUUCAGUAGAGCACAAAGCAAUGGCUAUGGGCAGGUCUUAUGUAAGUAAUUGGGCGGGCAGAUCGUGUUCUCCAGAUCCUGAUUUCUGCAUGCCAUUUUUGGCAAAAAGGGACACAAUGUACAAUUACUAUGUACAAAGGAAAUUUACAGCCCUAAGAGGAGCUUCAGACAGAAGUGUCAUCUUUGAAAGCUGCCUAGCAGCAGUAGAUGAUCCUGUACAUGAUAAUUCAACUGGGUUGGGUGCAAGCACAGAUCGCAGUGUGAUCUUUGAUGUUCCAGCUUAGCUAAGCAAAAAAAAAGCAAAAAGCAAACAAAACAAAAAUAACGAGUAAAACCUCCCACAAAAUUGCCACUCAAUUCACUAUAGUUCUCAAAGUUAAAAAAAUUUUGUCAUAUUUUCAGUAAAAUAUUAAAUAUUGCUCUUCCAAUAGAAUAACAAGCAGAUAACACAAGCAGAUUUUCACAGACUCCUUUAUCUACACCUUGAGAAUGAUCCCUGGCAAUAGUUGCACGGAAUCGGGCAACAGUUUCACUGCAGGAAAGCAAAAUUUUAACAGAGUUAAUUAUUUUCAGGCAAUAGGAAUGUGAGAAAUUGUAUUAUUUGCCCAAAGCUGUAUGUACUUCAUUGAAAGGUGUUUGCACAGCAUAAUAGCUUUAUUUCUUGGGUUCUGAUAGAAGCUUUAUUGUUAAAGACUUGAGUUUGUCAAUUACCUGAGUGUAAAAUCAGAUACCUCUGUUCUUCCUCUAUCUUAAUAAACUUUGGCGUAUGAUUUGUCAUCA